CCCUUAGAUGUUCUGGGCUGCACGCGCGCUACACUGAUGCACUCAACGAGUUUACGACCUUGCCCGAUAGGGUUGGGUAAUCUUUUUAAAAUGCAUCGUGAUGGGGAUAGAUUAUUGCAAUUAUUAAUCUUCAACGAGGAAUUCCUAGUAAGCGCGAGUCAUCAGCUCGUGCUGAUUACGUCCCUGCCCUUUGUACACACCGCCCGUCGUUCCUACCGAUUGAGUGCUCAGGUGAAUAGUUCGGACUGCAGCAAUGUUUGGAUCCCGAACGUUGCAGCGGAAAGUUUAGUGAACCUUAUCACUUAGAGGAAGGAGAAGUCGUAACA
RNAcentral lists this ribosomal RNA (326 nucleotides) under uncultured eukaryote. RNAcentral's name for it is "partial 18S ribosomal RNA". It matches the Rfam family "Eukaryotic small subunit ribosomal RNA", at positions 1470 to 1796 of the family's 1831-position model. The record is from RNAcentral.